UUGACGAUAGUUUCGAUUGAU
RNAcentral lists this non-coding RNA (21 nucleotides) under Caenorhabditis elegans. The record is from RNAcentral. Lineage: Eukaryota; Metazoa; Nematoda; Chromadorea; Rhabditida; Rhabditidae.